AACCAAUAACAAAAUUUGUUUAUGUGAUGCAAUCUAAUGAAAUUUAGAUGAAUUCAUUUGCAACAACAUUCAAAAUUUUGAAUCUAAGAUUAAUGAUCUCAACUAUCACAAAAUUUCCAUCAAUAUACAAGGAUAUCAUGUUAAUUUGUAAACAAUAUAGCUUUUUCAUUUACAAUUCUUGUACUAAAGUAAACAAUGCUACCUUACUACUCCUCAUACAAUACGAAUAUAGGUGGGUUACAUGUAUAAUUUAAAUGUUGUAUUCAUUAACACUUUUUUAUUGUUGAUUUUUAUGCUCAAUCUAUAUUCAAGUAUCCAGAUAUGAGGAUGAAUAUCUCUCGCAUACAAUUAUGCAGCUACAAGUAACAUAAGAGGAUGCUCACCUCUUGCUUUAUACGAAAGAAAGGACAAACCUCUUUAACCAUCGAUCUCAAGAAGCUGCAACAUGUAUUUAAAAUGGUUUAGAUGGAACUAUUUGAAUUCUUAUCAAAAUGUAUCUCUUUUCUUUUUGGUGGGGAGUUUGCUUUUUGCGAAAACAACAUAAGAUUUAUCUAUUAUAUAUCUACAGUUACUUGGAUACAGUCCUGCUUGGAAAAUCAGUCAACGACUAUGCUUGGGAAAAUAAAAAUGCAAUUAUAUUAGAUGUAUGUUGUAAUCAAGAUUUUGUUUGGUUAAUUGAAGAUUUAGUAAAUGACGGAUACAAAAUAUUGUUAGUAAUUGGCAAAGAGUGACAAAAACUAUUUACCAAUAUGUCUAUUCUACAUGGAAUUGCAUUACAUGGCCAAAUUUUGCACUAGUGGCACUAAUCUGCU
This 812-nucleotide small RNA is filed under the name Arabidopsis thaliana (thale cress). RNAcentral's name for it is "ATSL196630". The record is from RNAcentral. Lineage: Eukaryota; Viridiplantae; Streptophyta; Magnoliopsida; Brassicales; Brassicaceae.